RNAcentral lists this ribosomal RNA (712 nucleotides) under Campeiostachys dahurica var. tangutorum. Its description in RNAcentral is "eukaryotic LSU rRNA". The stretch from base 280 to 435 matches the Rfam family "5.8S ribosomal RNA". Lineage: Eukaryota; Viridiplantae; Streptophyta; Magnoliopsida; Poales; Poaceae. The record is from RNAcentral.
GGAAGUAAAAGUCGUAACAAGGUUUCCGUAGGUGAACCUGCGGAAGGAUCAUUGUCGUGACCCUGACCAAAACAGACCGCGCACGCGUCAUCCAACCCGUCGGCGACGGCACCGUCCGUCGCUCGGCCAAGUCCUCGACCACCUCCCCUCCUCGGAGUGGGUGGGGGCUCGGGGUAAAAGAACCACGGCGCCGAAGGCGUCAAGGAACACUGUGCCUAACCCGGGGGCAUGGCUAGCUUGCUAGCCGUCCCCCGUGUUGCAAAGCUAUUUAAUCCACACGACUCUCGGCAACGGAUAUCUCGGCUCUCGCAUCGAUGAAGAACGUAGCGAAAUGCGAUACCUGGUGUGAAUUGCAGAAUCCCGCGAACCAUCGAGUCUUUGAACGCAAGUUGCGCCCGAGGCCACUCGGCCGAGGGCACGCCUGCCUGGGCGUCACGCCAAAACACGCUCCCAACCCCCUCAUCGGGAAUCAGGAUGCGGCAUCUGGUCCCUCGUCUCGCAAGGGGCGGUGGACCGAAGAUCGGGCUGCCGGCGUACCGCGCCGGACACAGCGCAUGGUGGGCGUCCUCGCUUUAUCAACGCAGUGCAUCCGAUGCGUAGCCGGCAUGAUGGCCUCAAAACGACCCAGCUAACGAAGCACACGUCGCUUCGACCGCGACCCCAGGUCAGGCGGGACUACCCGCUGAGUUUAAGCAUAUAAAUAAGCGGAGGA